Molecule: long non-coding RNA, 948 nt
Filed under: Rattus norvegicus (Norway rat)
Lineage: Eukaryota; Metazoa; Chordata; Mammalia; Rodentia; Muridae
Description: long non-coding RNA NONRATT010778
Source: RNAcentral
CCCCUCCUUCUAAAUGGCUGUAUCUGUGUCUACUUGACAUAACACUAGCCAGCACUGCCAGGAUCUUGGGCAGCAGAGAAUUCCAGUAAUAAAGGAUAGAGUAUCAGGGGUCCUCAGACCUAUCGACUUCUGUAAAACAGAGGAAGACACUAACAUUUGGGCAGCUUGUUAAAAUUUCUCGCCAGGAGCCAGAAUUCUAAGCCUGCUAAAGGAAUGGACCUGGCCUCUCUAAAGACGUGAAGCAGCAAUGAACUGGAUCAAACUGAAGCCAGGCAAAGCCCAUGCUCAGCCCAACCAGAAGCAGACUUGGCCUGAAAGAGGGAGGAGUGUUCUUUUUCUGGAGGUGAGUUCCUUUUGUCUUAACGGCCAGUGCUUUGACUCUGCAGGUUUUAUACCUGAGGAGUCAACCAACUGUGGAUUUGAAUAUUUGCAAAGAAUACUGUGUCUGUAUUGUACACACACAACAGGACAGCAUGACUAUUUACAUAGCUUUUAUACUACAUUAACUAUUAUGAGCAGAGAUGAUUCACAAUAUAUGAAAGAGUGCAUGUAGGUUGUAUGCAAACAAAGAGACAGAUCUGGGUAUCGGAGGAGUCUUAGAACCAAUCCCUGUGAGGACUCUGGGCCAUCUUUGCACACAUGUGCUACAGGAAUCAUUGAAAGACAUGCAUAGAUGUAAGGAAACCACAAUGGUGGUUAAUGAAAAUGUGUGCAGCAAUGACCAGGGUGAACCACUGUUAAGUAACUGAUGAGCAUGAACCACCAGCAGUACAUUAUUGUCAGGCUAACAUCCAAUAAUCAUGUACUCUUAGUAUUCAGUGAAGGGGUAGUGAGAAUUUAAAAUUAUUUCUAUUCUUUUUUAAAAAAUGUAUUUCUACAAGCAUUUCCAAAAACAAAAAAAUUCUAAAAACAAGUAUUUCAAGAAAAAAAAAAAGAAAAAAAGAAAAA